GUGGGUUAUCCGGUGUUUGUAUUUUUUACAUUAUAACAGCGAGGUACCUAGGUACCACCAAAUGUGUUACAUUUAUGUGCCCAAACGUUUUACGGUCCUUUCUCCCAUAUCCUCUCAGAAAAUUUGAAAAAAAAAAAAUCGACGCCCUCAUCGGUUUUGGCAUACGGAAGCGUUACAAGUUCCCAUUUCUCGGCCGAACUGUUAUAUCUCUCUACCGUAGAAAUGGACAUUAACCCCUUGUUGUACUCCCAUUCGGUCCGAGUGUAUAGAAUACGCCACUUGAUG
Molecule: non-coding RNA, 285 nt
Organism: Cinara cedri
Lineage: Eukaryota; Metazoa; Arthropoda; Insecta; Hemiptera; Aphididae
Source: the annotation of a GenBank genome assembly